UUUUGACUAGUUGCUUUGUAACUACCAGCCCAUCUAUGAAAAAGACCAUUAGAAUUCGUCUGAAAUUUUUAUUUAUAAUAAUAAACAACUUUUGACAACGGAUCUCUUGGCUCUCGCAACGAUGAAGAACGCAGCGAAAUGCGAUACGUAAUGUGAAUUGCUUUCCGUGAAUCAUCAAAUCUUUGAACGCACAUUGCGCUUCUUUACAGAAGCAUGCUUGUUUGAGAAUCUAUAGUAUCAAUUCUACCACGGGUUACUCCUGAAGUAGAGAUCUGACUUUCCCAGCUCCUAGGAACUGGGUCUGUUUAAAUUGAUUGCCCCUAUCUAGAGUAGACUAAGGCAAGAAACGUAUGUGUAUCUCCUCUUACGAGAAGUCACUAUGCUUAUUACUGCUCUGCUCUUAGGGAUUCAUAACCUAUAAGAAUAGUAUUCUUCGGAAUCUAGUCUUGAACCAUGGUCUCAAAUCAAGUAGGAAGACCCGCUGAACUUAA
RNAcentral lists this ribosomal RNA (491 nucleotides) under uncultured fungus. RNAcentral's name for it is "eukaryotic LSU rRNA". The stretch from base 87 to 231 matches the Rfam family "5.8S ribosomal RNA". The record is from RNAcentral. Lineage: Eukaryota; Fungi.